Zonotrichia albicollis (white-throated sparrow) is the source of this 4720-nucleotide non-coding RNA. The record is from RefSeq and is a predicted model, not a curated record. NCBI's taxonomy places the organism in Eukaryota, Metazoa, Chordata, Aves, Passeriformes, Passerellidae.
AUUGACCCUAAAGUUGCGUUUCCCCGACGAGCACAGCCCAAGAUGGUCACAAGAACAAAGAAAAUAUUUGUAGGUGGAUUAUCGGCUAAUACAGUAGUGGAGGACGUGAAGCAAUACUUUGAACAGUUUGGCAAGGUAGAGGAUGCCAUGCUAAUGUUUGACAAGACGACCAACAGGCAUAGAGGAUUUGGCUUCGUAACUUUCGAAAACGAAGACGUGGUGGAAAAAGUCUGUGAAAUUCACUUCCACGAAAUCAAUAAUAAAAUGGUAGAAUGUAAGAAAGCACAACCUAAAGAAGUGAUGUUUCCACCAGGGACGAGAGGAAGGGCACGUGGAUUGCCGUACACCAUGGACGCGUUCAUGCUAGGGAUGGGAAUGUUGGGUUACCCGAAUUUUGUUGCAACAUAUGGCCGAGGAUAUCCUGGAUUUGCCCCAAGUUACAGUUAUCAGUUCCCAGGUUUCCCAGCAGCGGCUUACGGACCAGUAGCAGCGGCAGCCGUGGCGGCAGCAAGAGGAUCAGGUAGGGGGGCCCGUGGAAGAGCAAACCCUCAGAGUGCAGGGUCAGAGGGUGUCUCUGAGGCAAACUUUCCGGCCUCUCUUACACUCGGACGUGCACACCUCCUCUCAAACACUCUUCUGAGCGCUCUCAGCGGGAAGUCUUGAAUAGCUACAGUGCUCAACCGAAUUUUGGCGCACCCGCUUCCCCGGCAGGCUCCACCCCAGCGCGGCCCGGCGGCUUCCCCGGCGCCAACAGCCCCGGGCCCGUGGCGGAUCUCUACGGCACGGCCAGCCAGGACUCCGCCGUGGGCAACUACAUAAGCGCCGCCAGCCCGCAGCCAGGCUCGGGCUUCGGCCACGGCAUCGCCGGACCUUUGAUUGCAACGGCUUUUACAAAUGGAUACCAUUGAAACGUUACACAUGGUUGGUUGCCAUCUCACUUGGAGAGUCUCUCUGGAUGUCCGGGCAAGACAGGGCGAAGUUUCUGAAGGGGCCCACGGUUGGGUGAUCUCAUCAGACUUUGAGCACUACAUCAUCAUCACCAUCACCAUCAUCAUCAUCACCGCCAACGCAAACUGGAGGUGGCACUCGAAGGACUUGGGUGGUUUAAAAUCUCUCUCAUCAUCUCAUGAAUCUGCUGUACUAUAAAAACAACAGCUUUUAAAAGUAUGUAUAUAAAACCCAUUUCUUGUUGGUUUUAUUUUCUCGGUGGGUUCCCCCCCUCUUUUUAAGCCUCUCCAAACCCACAUCUUUUCGUAGCCUUUUGGACAUAGUCUCGUAGCCACGUAGUCGCAAUUCUUUGUGUAUGUAGCGAGAGCCUAACCAUAGUGUAACUGUUAUAUUAAAGGGUUUCUUUUGCUUUUUCUUUCCCACCUCCCCUCCUCCUCCUCCUCCUCCUCCUCCUCCCUUCUGUUUUCCGUAGUUGUUGUUGCUUAAAGGAUGCUGAGAUGGUGACAGGAGCCUGGGCAGCGGCGGGCAGGGCACGGGGAGGGGGGAGCAGCAGGUUCUCUGGCCCUUCUUUUCCUUUGUGGCGUCUUGGUUACUCUAAUUCUCUCUAUUUUCGGCAAUAAGGCGAGGGCGACAAACUUUUUGCGCGUCCUUUUUCUAUAUAAGUGCUUUUUUUUGUUGAAAGAGGUGAUAUAAGGUUUUUUGAAAUUGUGAAUUCUGAAAAAAAAAAAAAGAGAAAAAAUAAUAAAAGUGCUGUAAAUACAAUUCCAUUAACUACAUAGAAGCUAUUAAGAAAGAGAAAUACAAACCUAUUUUUGUGACGGAGUCAGCCUAAGGCAGUUUCUCUAUGGAAAUGGAGGAGAGAAGAGAAGGGAGGUGUGGCUGUGGUGCUGUGGGACCCUCCCAGCCCACCCAGCUCACACCAGCAGCUUGCUCUCACACGUGCACAGCCUGCAAAGGAACAGUCUCGAGGGAUUUUUAUUUUAAUUUAAAACCUGCUUUUCCCAAAACUGAUCAAGAAGCUACGAUUUUUCCUACUUAGCGCAUUUACGGUUCAAAGCACACCUUUGUUUUGGUUUUUUAUUUUGGAUUUUGGUUUUUUUGUUUUAGACAUUGUUUUAAACUAGAUCAACUUGCUGUCCAGUCAUUUCAGCUGCUCUGGGCACCCCGUGUGGGCCGAGCAGCGUCCAGCUUGCAUGGUUUCCUUUAUUAUCCAUCACUUUCUGUAAUGUCAAAUUAGAAAGCAACUUUGGUUGGUUUUGAUUUUUUUUUUCUUUUUUUUUUUUUUUUUGGGAAUACCUCAGUGCUACAAGUUUCACCCUAGAAGCAACGGAAGAUUUUAAUUUAUUGUAGUUGUAAACAGAAUUUAAAAGAAAUAAAGUAUAAAACAUCAUUGCACUGUGACUGGUAGGGGAAAAACUGACAGUUUCCUAUUUGCACAUGUUUAAUAUUUGGCUGUUAUAUAUAUGGUCCUCUGUUGGGGGAGGAAACUUAUGAAGGAUAUUUUUUAAUUUAAUUUUUUUAAUAUUGGUAAAUAGGCCUGCAACAGCAAACUAGAAGUACAACAUGGUAGGUGGCAUUAAGAACAUACUGUAGUGUGGAUAUAUUUCUUCUUUUUUUAACGUAAUAUUGACAAGUUUUAUUAAUAUUUUUUUAAAUUGUUACGUUUAUAAAUUUGGUACUUUAGGUACAGCCAGUAUAAGACACUGAAUGCGACAUUUGUUAAAAAGAGCUGCUGCACUCCUAUUUUUGUAAAUUUUACUAACAAGUAGACUAAUGUAGACAUUCAAUAGACAAGGUAGAGCAAGGCAUCUUUAACAAAACAAGGCACCAUACUGCUAACCGAAAGGAGAAACCUUGUUUUUCUUGUUUUUAAAAAAAAAAAAUCAUGCUUUUUAUGUAAUAUUUUAGGUUUUUUUCUUAUUUCAGAACAACCAGGUUUAAGCAAAAUGCUGGACGCUUUUUAAAUAUUGAGACUUGAUCAAGUAAUAAAAGAAAUAAAACCGAAUUCUUUAAAAAAUAAAAAGGUAAAAAAAAAAAAUACUAUGAACCAAAUUCCCUGCGAUUCAGUGUGCCGUCAGGGAAUUUUUUAUUGCUAUUUUGUCAAUGUUGAUGAUGUACUGUACUACCAGUUGGUUUUCCUCUCCAUUCCCUGUCACCUCAUAGAAUAUUCUUUGUUGAUCAUUGUUGUAUGUUAAUAGUGUAUAAAAUGGCUUAUCUUGUAAGAGUGCUGUCCUGAUGGUAGUGUAGUGAAUUUUUCCCCCCCUCUUUCUCUCUUCCUCUUCUAGUACAUAUUGGUAGGUGUAUCGUAAUUAAGGUUAAAAAUUUAGAUGUAGUUAUUCAGAUUUAGGACCAGUAAGGAUAGAACUUUCUCUUAUUUAAGAAAAAAAAAUGCUAAUAAUUUUGGGAAGGUUUUCCUUUUUUGUUUUUUUCUUCUCUUUUUUCUUUCUGUGCUUUUUUUUUCUCUUGUUUAUUAUUUUUCUUUUGUUGAUCUGAUGCGGUUUCAACUAACCAAAGGUCUCACAAUGUUAAAAAUGCUGGCAAACUCUUAAGGCAUUUGUAGAUCCCCACCCAUGACUUUGGAAAGGGGAUGUGCCAUACUACCUUAAAUGCUAAUGCUAGAUAUGCAAAACUGGAUUUUUUUAAUUUAUUUUUUAAAAGAGGGAGGCACGGUAUAUUAAAACGAUUUUACUAAGAGAAAAAAAAAAAAAACAUAUUUUUUUAAGAAUGCUCAGAAGAAAUUGCUAAUCUGUGUGAAUAUGUUUUAGAUGUUUAUAUACCUUUUGAGAAGUCCCAGUGGCCCAUAGCACAAAUGUCGUGGAAUCCAAGAUGUUUUGAUGUGGCUACCUAGACUAAGGUUCACGUUAGUCCCCCACUCAUCUAGAAAUCAAUUUUGAAGGAUUAUUUUUUUUUUUUUCCUUUUCCUUCGUUCGUUUGGGGGUUUUUUGUAAAUUUUUCAGCACAAAGGUUCAGCUGCACCUUUGUUUUACUCAAGCCCAGGAGGGAGCGAAGGAUGGUGGAGCCGUGGGCUGGGUUGGGUUGGAAGGACCCUGAGCCCGUCCAGUGCCACCCCUGCCAUGGCAGGGUCACCUCUGCUGUCCCCAGUGUCCAGCCUGGCCUGGGAGCUGCAGGGACAGAGCCAGGACACCUCCCUGAGGGACAGAGCCCUGCAGAUCUGCCCUGGGGUGGCCAACAGGAGCCAUCUCCACACCUGGGUGACCCACAGGGGCCUCGUCCCCAGCACCAGGGACAGCCCCAGGAGCCACAAGUGCUUGGGACCCUCCCCUCGAAUAACCCGAGUCCUCCUUGGGAUCGGCUUGGUUAAGGCAAAGCCUGACCUGUCCUUUGGGUUUUUUAUUUUUUCUUACACUUCAUAAAUGUUCAUUUUGAGUUGAAUUUGUAGCUUGGACUUUAAGGUAGCAUGGCUCUCUUUGCUGUAAGUUGAUUUUCUUUUUUCCAUUGUACAGCAGCGUCUGCUGGUGAAUGUCACACAUCUUGCUAGGCUUAGUUAAAUCAUUGGGUAAUUGUGGGUGAUAACGACCUGAAAGGUGUUGGGAUUUCUUUUCUUCCCUGCUUUCAUCUGUAGUGUGAAUGAGGGCUAGCGACUCCAGCCACACGUCCCUUCCUGUUUCGUUUCUGCCAUUCACUCAAUGCAACAUAAUCAAUAAUAAAGCAAUAUAGUUUACUACAUUUUUACUGAAGGCCAGCCAUGGUUCUGUAUGAUAUUGCAUAUGAAACUGUUUACAAAAACAAAAAAAAGAAAAAAAAAAAAAAA